UCUUAGACAAUGGGCGCAAGCCUGAUCUAGCCAUGCCGCGUGAGCGAUGAAGGCCUUAGGGUUGUAAAGCUCUUUCAGCUGGGAAGAUAAUGACUGUACCAGCAGAAGAAGCCCCGGCUAACUCCGUGCCAGCAGCCGCGGUAAUACGGAGGGGGCUAGCGUUGUUCGGAAUUACUGGGCGUAAAGCGCACGUAGGCGGACUGGAAAGUCAGGGGUGAAAUCCCGGGGCUCAACCCCGGAACUGCCCUUGAAACUCCCGGUCUUGAGGUCGAGAGAGGUGAGUGGAAUUCCGAGUGUAGAGGUGAAAUUCGUAGAUAUUCGGAGGAACACCAGUGGCGAAGGCGGCUCACUGGCUCGAUACUGACGCUGAGGUGCGAAAGCGUGGGGAGCAAACAGGA
Molecule: ribosomal RNA, 398 nt
Filed under: uncultured bacterium
Lineage: Bacteria
Description: bacterial SSU rRNA
Rfam family: Bacterial small subunit ribosomal RNA
Source: RNAcentral